UGCGAGGGGGGCGAGCGUUGUUCGGAAUUAUUGGGCGUAAAGCGCACGUAGGCGGCUUUGCAAGUCCCAUGUGAAAUCCCACGGCUCAACCGUGGAAGUGCAUGGGAAACUGCAGAGCUUGAGUACUUAAGAGGAUCGCGGAAUUCCCGGUGUAGAGGUGAAAUUCGUAGAUAUCGGGAGGAACACCAGUGGCGAAGGCGGCGAUCUGGGAAGAUACUGACGCUGAGGUGCGAAAGCGUGGGGAGCAAACAGG
This 253-nucleotide ribosomal RNA is filed under the name uncultured bacterium. Its description in RNAcentral is "partial 16S ribosomal RNA". It matches the Rfam family "Bacterial small subunit ribosomal RNA", at positions 524 to 776 of the family's 1533-position model. The record is from RNAcentral.